GCGUAAAGAGAGGAAUUCUUAGUAUUAUUCUCACUAUUGAACUAAUGAAUUACAACUGAGCUAUAUAGAGUUGUGUACAAAGAAAUACAACUGCCUAAACAGAAUUUGAACUAACAACUAACUGAUUCAGUAAUUCUUUAACCAACUUUUACACAAUCUGACUUUAACUUAGAUCUAACAGCUUAAGCAUCCUUUACUAAUUCUUCUCCAUUGUAUUCAUUUUGUGCUACCAGGUUCUGUUGGACAUGUACGUGAGCUAUCAAGAACAUAGAGAAGCAGGCACAAAAAUAAACUAUGAAAAGAUAGUCAUCAUCUAACAGCUUAGGCGGCAUGUACAUUGAUUAUCAGCUUCUUUGUCCAAACAUUCAGCAUUUAACUCAUAAGCUCAUAAGCAGAUGGCACAUCAUGCAAUGGGUGACCUUUUCUGUUUCUCUCAAUUAUCCUCUGUGCGAGGGAAACUUGCUUCCCAACCCCAAAGACAAAUGCCUUGCCCUUUCCUGUGGCACCUCUAGCAGUUCUUCCAACUCGACGCACAUAUUCACUUGGAUCACGUGGAAAAUCAAAGAGUAUAACAUGAUCCACACCAGUAAAAUCAAUUCCACGUGAUGCUCUGUCAUGAAUUAACAAAAAAAAUCCAGAUCACUAUGCUAUGUUAUGCUUAGAUGUAAGGAUAAGGGGUUCAGUAAUGUCAGGAAGAAAAGUUAUGACAGUACCUAUCCGUACAAACCAAAAAUAAAGAGUUUUCUCCUGGAGGAGAAUUCAUGAACUCUGUCAUGUUUGCAAGCCUUGAUUCUUUUGCCAGUGCAGCAUGGAAAGGUAGAACUCGAAUAUUUGUUCCUUUUCUGUCAAAGCGUUUUAAUACAUUCUCUACUUUUCUGCAUGUCUCGAUCUUGUUACAAAACACAAUUGUCUUGGAAACAGGACUUUGCUCCAUAAUCCGCAGAAGAGCUGAUUUCUUAUUGAGAAAUGCUGUAUCGGGUGUCCUUUCUGUCCCAAUUUCUCCACUGCAAUCCACAAGAACCUCUUCAAGCCUGGUACUUGUGCGAUGCAUACCAGGUCCCAUGAUCACUUCACAAUCAGGAAAGAUCUCAACAAGCUUGUUAUAAACAUCGACUGGUAAAGUUGCAGUAACGAAAAGAUAUUGUGUGACAACUGGUGAAGAAUUCAUCAAGCUGUUUAAUGCAACCUCAAAGUCCUCAUCAUUAAACAGUAUAUCGACCUCAUCCAACACAACACAUUUCAGAUUUGUUUGCUGUAAGAAUCCUUCUUUAACUAGGAAUGUGAAACGUCCAGGCGUCACUAUUAGAAUGUCAACACCUUGUUCUAGAUUUUCCAGUUGAGUUCUCUGAGAAAAUCCACCCGUUGCAACCAUAGAUCGAAAUGGAACCCCAAAUUUUGAUAUUGACCGGCAAUUAUUCAAAACCUGAGAUGCCAGCUCAGCAGUUGGCACCAUGAUAAGUACUUGAGGACUUUUUGAAACAGAUUCACCAAGUCCUUGGAGUUCUUCUAGCCUGAGGCGUUGAAUUAUAGGUACCAGAUAUGCCAAUGUCUUUCCUGAUCCACUUUGAUCUGCUAUAACACAGCUCUUCCCUUCAAUUACAGGUGUAAAUGCCAUGGCCUGAAUAUGUGAAGGGCGUACGAAAAACUGCCCCUUCAAAGAUUCAAUCAUAAAGCAAGUGCAUCCCAAAUCUUUAAAUGAUUUUCUACUAAAGAAGUCAUUGUCAGCAGAAAAUAUUUGCUGUUGUUGCAGAGGUUUUGUUGAUUUGGAUUUGAGACUAUGAACGUGACCUACGUUGCCCCACCCUCUUGAGUAAGAAGAACCAGCAGGAGCUGAACGUUUUGGUCCAGCUCUUUUGGGGAAAGAUCUUUGAGAAUCAUCUUGCAUAAUUUCAUAAUCCAACAUCUGAUGUUCACCGUGUUUGAAAUAAGCAUUCGAAGUUUUCGUGUCCUCCCUCAUCCCAGUUACCAUUGUCUCUCCAUAAGUCUUUUCCUUCACCAGUGAAGAUCUUUUCAUUAGAACUUUUAACUUGUGUGCUUUCAGUUUUCUGAAACUAGAAGGCGUUGGAGAAGCACUUUUUGUGGUACUUACAAUGCCUGGAGAAGCAUCUUUGUCAUCCUGGUUCGGAAGAUGGGAGCAAGUGCCAUCAGCAUCAUCGAGCUCUGGAACAGCUUGAAAGGGAGUGUUGGAAGCGAAAACCCUUUUACUGCUUUUCAAAUCAAAACUGAAGAAUACGCAACUGUGACUGUGGGAGCCAAUGAUUUGAGGCCUCAGGUUUUUUAGAGGAUGAGGAGAAGGAAGAGCACCCAUUGCCAGCAUCUCUUCCCACACUCUUCCUUCGUUUUCCCUCGCGUCUUCUGCGCUCGCUAUGGAGAAAGAAAGUUUUCCUUCAAGCCGCCGGUAAGAAUAUCUGUUGCAUAUCCAUGUUUA
This 2428-nucleotide unclassified non-coding RNA is filed under the name Hevea brasiliensis (rubber tree). The record is from RNAcentral. Lineage: Eukaryota; Viridiplantae; Streptophyta; Magnoliopsida; Malpighiales; Euphorbiaceae.